UUUAAGAGUAUAGAGAGUUUUAUUGAGGAUUACAGACAGGUGUAAAAACAUCUGUGUCUUUCUUCCCUCGUCUGUUUUUGCUCAUUCUCUACUCCCAUUAAAAAGUUUUUUAAUGCUCAAAAAGUGUUAACAGAGUGCUUAAAUUCAGUAGACUCGCUGAAUCUGCACAUUAUAAGCAGAAUUACACACAGAGACAUG
Molecule: long non-coding RNA, 198 nt
Organism: Rhinichthys klamathensis goyatoka
Lineage: Eukaryota; Metazoa; Chordata; Actinopteri; Cypriniformes; Leuciscidae
Exons: 2
Source: RefSeq, a predicted model, not a curated record